UACGUAGGGGGCUAGCGUUGUCCGGAAUCAUUGGGCGUAAAGAGCGUGUAGGCGGCCCGGUAAGUCCGCUGUGAAAGUCGGGGGCUCAACCCUCGAAUGCCGGUGGAAACUGUCGGGCUAGAGUCCGGAAGAGGCGAGUGGAAUUCCCGGUGUAGCGGUGAAAUGCGCAGAUAUCGGGAGGAACACCAAUGGCGAAGGCAGCUCGCUGGGACGGUACUGACGCUGAGACGCGAAAGCGUGGGGAGCAAACAGG
RNAcentral lists this ribosomal RNA (253 nucleotides) under uncultured bacterium. Its description in RNAcentral is "partial 16S ribosomal RNA". It matches the Rfam family "Bacterial small subunit ribosomal RNA", at positions 524 to 776 of the family's 1533-position model. The record is from RNAcentral.